GGGGGUGACAUGGUUUCGACAGGGAACCAGUGUGGUAGAGAUGCAUGCCGGAGAUGCUGUCCACUCCGUUAACAAGCAGCAAAUGCAAAUUAACUGCAAACGAUAACUUACUCUUAGCCGCUUAAUGCGGUUACGUUCAACCUUUUCGUGCCAUCGGGAAAGGCUUGGGCGUCGUAACAGUAUGGCUGCUCAGGCGUAGAUUGCCGAUAUACGCUUGUUAAGACUUUCGGCUGGGGUUUUGCGGGUCUGAUUGUCUUUGCCGCCAUGCCCGAGAUCUAAAGACAACUAAGCAUGUAGAUUCUUUAUGGCGCUGUUCUUUGGACGCGGGUUCGAUCCCCGCCACCUCCACCA
Molecule: transfer-messenger RNA, 351 nt
Filed under: Candidatus Cloacimonadota bacterium
Lineage: Bacteria; Pseudomonadati; Candidatus Cloacimonadota
Also listed under: 2 other names
Rfam family: transfer-messenger RNA
About the family: Bacterial tmRNA, also known as 10Sa RNA or SsrA, is named for its dual tRNA and mRNA-like properties. Its role is to liberate the mRNA from a stalled ribosome. To accomplish this part of the tmRNA is used as a reading frame that ends in a translation stop signal.
Source: RNAcentral